CCGAGUUUUACAACUCCCAAACCCCUGUGAACAUACCAAUUGUUGCCUCGGCGGAUCAGCCCGCUCCCGGUAAAACGGGACGGCCCGCCAGAGGACCCCUAAACUCUGUUUCUAUAUGUAACUUCUGAGUAAAAACCAUAAAUAAAUCA
This 149-nucleotide unclassified non-coding RNA is filed under the name soil metagenome. Its description in RNAcentral is "partial internal transcribed spacer 1". The record is from RNAcentral.